AGGGUUUGAUCCUGGCUCAGGACGAACGCUGGCGGCGUGCCUAAUACAUGCAAGUAGAACGCACAGGAUGCACCGUAGUUUACUACACCGUAUUCUGUGAGUUGCGAACGGGUGAGUAACGCGUAGGUAACCUGCCUGGUAGCGGGGGAUAACUAUUGGAAACGAUAGCUAAUACCGCAUAAGAACAUUUACUGCAUGGUAGAUGUUUAAAAGGUGCAAAAGCAUCACUACCAGAUGGACCUGCGUUGUAUUAGCUAGUUGGUGAGGUAACGGCUCACCAAGGCAACGAUACAUAGCCGACCUGAGAGGGUGAUCGGCCACACUGGGACUGAGACACGGCCCAG
RNAcentral lists this ribosomal RNA (344 nucleotides) under uncultured bacterium. Its description in RNAcentral is "bacterial SSU rRNA". It matches the Rfam family "Bacterial small subunit ribosomal RNA", at positions 8 to 334 of the family's 1533-position model. The record is from RNAcentral.